Long non-coding RNA from Drosophila biarmipes, 537 nucleotides. RefSeq lists it as uncharacterized. NCBI's taxonomy places the organism in Eukaryota, Metazoa, Arthropoda, Insecta, Diptera, Drosophilidae. The transcript is spliced from 3 exons. The record is from RefSeq and is a predicted model, not a curated record.
CGGAAGUUCGGGCGAGUGUUUGUGUGUGUGUGUUAGUGCUCUUGGACAGAUCACUGGAUAUAUAUGGAGGUGGACCUGGACUCCAGGAUGCAGUGCAUCACCAGCUAAAAAUGGAUGCUAUGGUCACUCGAAGAACCAGUUGACCGGAAGUUCCAGCGAAUGAUUGUGUGUGUGUUGGUGCUCUUGGACAGAUCGCUGGAAAUGUACGGAUAGAUAUGGAGGUGUUGCACUGAUAACAGGAUAUAUAUAUGGAGAUGUCAACUUGUUCAGUGCCUGCUACUCCCUUUGUGGAGUGACGAUACUUAGAAGCAGGCAAAUGGCAUGCGUUUUUAUGCCCAGGCAUCAAAGUUAAUUUGGCCCAGCGUCCAGGGCUUCGGGCUUUUGGGUCUGAAACUCUUUGAAGAACUCGGACUUACUCCCCCAACUAUUAGCCACUGUGGAGAAGUUCGACGGGAUUUUCGGCAGCCCUGCAAGUGAAAAAGUUGCCUUCGACGCCCCGUAAAAGUUCACCAUUCACCUGGGCCGCAAAAUCAACUG